This 734-nucleotide ribosomal RNA is filed under the name uncultured Bacteroidota bacterium. Its description in RNAcentral is "bacterial SSU rRNA". It matches the Rfam family "Bacterial small subunit ribosomal RNA", at positions 137 to 873 of the family's 1533-position model. The record is from RNAcentral. Lineage: Bacteria; Pseudomonadati; Bacteroidota.
UUGGGGAUAGCCUUUCGAAAGAGAGAUUAAUACCCAAUGGUCUAAGCUGGAGGAAUCUCCUACUUAGUAAAGAUUACGGUGAAAGAUGGGCAUGCGUCUGAUUAGCUAGUUGGCGGGGUAACGGCCCACCAAGGCGACGAUCAGUAGGGGUUCUGAGAGGAUGGUCCCCCACACUGGCACUGAGAUACGGGCCAGACUCCUACGGGAGGCAGCAGUAGGGAAUAUUGGGCAAUGGACGGAAGUCUGACCCAGCCAUGCCGCGUGCAGGAAGAAGGUCCUCUGGAUUGUAAACUGCUUUAGACGGGGAAGAAUAAGGAUCAUGCGUGAUCUGAUGACGGUACCCGUAGAAUAAGCACCGGCUAACUACGUGCCAGCAGCCGCGGUAAUACGUAGGGUGCGAGCGUUGUCCGGAUUUAUUGGGUUUAAAGGGUGCGUAGGCGGGAGAGUAAGUUCGCUUUUAAAGCCGGCCGCUUAACGGUCAGGUAGGGGGCGGAUACUGCUUUUCUUGAGAGGGCUCGGGGCUGGCGGAAUUUGUGGUGUAGCGGUGAAAUGCAUAGAUACCACAAGGAACACCGAUCGCGUAGGCAGCCAGCCAGGGCCUUUCUGACGCUGAGGCACGAAAGUGCGGGGAGCAAACAGGAUUAGAUACCCUGGUAGUCCGCACUGUAAACGAUGCAUACUCGGUGUCGGCUCGUUGGAGCCGGUGCCUGAGGGAAACCGAUAAGUAUGCCACC